UACGGAGGAUCCGAGCGUUAUCCGGAUUUAUUGGGUUUAAAGGGUGCGCAGGCGGGAGAUUAAGUCGGCGGUGAAAUUUUGCAGCUCAACUGUAAAAGUGCCUUCGAAACUGGUUUCCUUGAGUGUAGAUGAAGUAGGCGGAAUUUGUGGUGUAGCGGUGAAAUGCAUAGAUAUCACGAGGAACUCCGAUUGCGCAGGCAGCUUACUAAACCAUAACUGACGCUCAGGCACGAAGGCGUGGGGAUCAAACAGGAUUAGAUACCCCUGUA
This 269-nucleotide ribosomal RNA is filed under the name uncultured prokaryote. Its description in RNAcentral is "partial 16S ribosomal RNA". It matches the Rfam family "Bacterial small subunit ribosomal RNA", at positions 524 to 792 of the family's 1533-position model. The record is from RNAcentral.